CGGCGGACGGGUGAGUAACACGUGGGUAACCUACCUAUAAGACUGGGACAACUUCGGGAAACCGGAGCUAAUACCGGAUAAGAUAUCGAACCGCAUGGUUCGAUAGUGAAAGAUGGUUUUGCUAUCACUUAUAGAUGGACCCGCGCCGUAUUAGCUAGUUGGUGAGGUAACGGCUCACCAAGGCAACAUACGUAGCCGACCUGAGAGGGUGAUCGGCCACACUGGAACUGAGACACGGUCCAGACUCCUACGGGAGGCAGCAGCC
Molecule: ribosomal RNA, 265 nt
Filed under: uncultured Staphylococcus sp.
Lineage: Bacteria; Bacillati; Bacillota; Bacilli; Caryophanales; Staphylococcaceae
Description: partial 16S ribosomal RNA
Rfam family: Bacterial small subunit ribosomal RNA
Source: RNAcentral